Molecule: ribosomal RNA, 550 nt
Filed under: uncultured bacterium
Lineage: Bacteria
Description: bacterial SSU rRNA
Rfam family: Bacterial small subunit ribosomal RNA
Source: RNAcentral
UAGGGAAUCUUCGGCAAUGGACGGAAGUCUGACCGAGCAACGCCGCGUGAGUGAAGAAGGUUUUCGGAUCGUAAAGCUCUGUUGUAAGAGAAGAACGAGUGUGAGAGUGGAAAGUUCACACUGUGACGGUAUCUUACCAGAAAGGGACGGCUAACUACGUGCCAGCAGCCGCGGUAAUACGUAGGUCCCGAGCGUUGUCCGGAUUUAUUGGGCGUAAAGCGAGCGCAGGCGGUUAGAUAAGUCUGAAGUUAAAGGCUGUGGCUCAACCAUAGUUCGCUUUGGAAACUGUCAAACUUGAGUGCAGAAGGGGAGAGUGGAAUUCCAUGUGUAGCGGUGAAAUGCGUAGAUAUAUGGAGGAACACCGGUGGCGAAAGCGGCUCUCUGGUCUGUAACUGACGCUGAGGCUCGAAAGCGUGGGGAGCGAACAGGAUUAGAUACCCUGGUAGUCCACGCCGUAAACGAUGAGUGCUAGGUGUUGGGUCCUUUCCGGGAUUCAGUGCCGCAGCUAACGCAUUAAGCACUCCGCCUGGGGAGUACGACCGCAAGGUUG